UCUGGUGAUGAUGGCGAGAAGGUAACACCCGUUCCCAUUCCGAACACGCAAGUUAAGCUUCUCAGCGCCGAUGGUACUGCUCGGGAGACCGAGUGGAAGAGUAGGACGUUGCCAGGU
Molecule: non-coding RNA, 117 nt
Organism: Clostridium sp.
Lineage: Bacteria; Bacillati; Bacillota; Clostridia; Eubacteriales; Clostridiaceae
Source: Rfam